AUGGCGUCCCGCCGCGUCCUCCACCUCCUAACGGCAUCUCGAGGCAUCUCCUCAACCCCACAUCUCGCCUCCCUCGGGUGGAUCAACAAGAUCAAGGACACCUUCACCGGCAAGAAGGCCGCCGACUCACCCUUCCCCCCGUCUGAAUCCUUCAAUCUCAACAUGUUCGCGGAUUCGAUGGAGAUGGCGAGGAAGGUGGGAACUUUCAAGAACUUCGUGUCAGGGAGAUGCAGCGAGGCCACCGUCGUAGCCGCCUGCGAGAAGCACGCCGCCGUUCUCCGCUACCUCGCCACCAUCGACCCAAUCGGCGAGAAGCUCAAAACCAGUGACAAAAUUAGUGCCACCAAGCAUUGCAACUGCACAAUUGCUGAUGUGGAGCACAUACUGGCCAAGUACACAUGGGCUAAAGAUGCCCAAAAGAAGAUUGAAAAACUCAAAGAAGAAGGAAAGCCAGUGCCAAAGACAUUUACUGAGGUGCAAAAUCUAAUGGGUAAUACAGCCUUUGACCUUGGAAGAGCUAAUCUGGAAAAGAGUGGUCAGAUAAGUAGGAAUGCUCUCUGCCCAUGCGGUUCUAAGAAACGAUAUAAAAAGUGUUGUGGGGCUUCUUGA
This 609-nucleotide ribosomal RNA is filed under the name Triticum aestivum (bread wheat). RNAcentral describes it as "partial small subunit ribosomal RNA". The record is from RNAcentral. Lineage: Eukaryota; Viridiplantae; Streptophyta; Magnoliopsida; Poales; Poaceae.